Pelobates cultripes (western spadefoot toad) is the source of this 515-nucleotide non-coding RNA. The record is from the annotation of a GenBank genome assembly. NCBI's taxonomy places the organism in Eukaryota, Metazoa, Chordata, Amphibia, Anura, Pelobatidae.
AUCCUGUAAAGAUGACUGCAAGAGCACAGCGCAGACUGCUCAAUGAGGUGAAGAAGAAUCCUAGAGUGUCAGCUAAAGACUUACAAAAGUCACUGGCAAAGGCUAACAUCCCUGUUAGCGAAUCUACAAUACGUAAAACACUAAACAAGAAUGGAUUUCAUGGGAGGAUACCACAUUGGAAGCCACUGCUGUCCAAACAAAACAUUGCUGCACGUUUACAGUUUGUACAAGAGCACCUGGAUGUUCCACAGCAGUACUGGCAAAAUAUUCUGUGGACAGAUGAAACCAAAGUUGAGUUGUUUGGAAGAAACACACAACACUAUGUGUGGCAAAAAAAGGCGCAGCACACCAACAUCAAAACUUCAUCCCAACUGUUAAGUAUGGUGGUGGGGGCAUCAUGAUUUGGGGCCGCUUUGCUGGGUCAGGGCCUGGACUGAUUGCUAUCAUCGAAGGAAAAAUGAAUACCCAAGUUUAUCAAGACAAUUUGCAGGAGAACUUAAGGCCAUCUGUCUACC